GCAAGUAGACAACUACAACGAAUUUUAAAAUUCAACUCUUCAUUUCUUAUUCAUGCUUCAAUUUUCAGCUUACAUUAGCCAGUGUAUCAGCUGUGUACCUGGUAUUCGGAAAAGAAAAUAAGAGGAAGAAAUUAGUAGUGCAGUGGUAGCACAAUAUAGCAACAAAAGCAGAAUACCACAGCGAAUAACAACAACAAGCAGCAGUAACCCAGUGAUAACCCAGUAAUAACAAACACCAACAAUAGAACAAUAACAGAUGAGUAGUGAACUCAGGACAACCAGUUGUUAUUUCAGAAAUACCAAGCAACAACACAAACAAAACAGACCGUUCAAGGAAAUAUGAGACAGGGAAUUUUUCUCUUCAACUCUCAAAUAUUGAACCUUUCAGAAUAAAAGCCAGCCCAUUUCUUUUUGCUUUCUAACUCUCAAUUUUCUUCAGUGUCAAGAACUAGUCUAUAUCUCACUCUUAAGUUCUGAAAAAAUUUUCUUCUUCCAAAUCCUCUCCUCAAUUCUCAGAAACUCUCAAAGUGAUCUCUAAGACUUAGUCUCAACUCUCAAAGAUGAUGUCUAAACUCUCUGUGUGUUUAAGCUCUGAAAACUGAUCUUCCCUCUCAAAACUCUUCAGACUGUCUCUUGUAUAUCCGUGUGUAUGUCGUCCCCCUUUUUCUAGGUGUCAAAUGACUCUUAUUUAUAUCUAAAAACCAGACUCUCUUCCCCACCCCUUUAAUUAUUAUUAUUACCCUUCCGAUUACCCUCCCUUUUCUUUAAUUUUCAGCUCCCCAAAUAUUCUCUUCUAUGUCUAUCUUUUAACCUUUUAUCAUUACAUAUACUAUUCCUAAUCUCAAUUAAGCAAACACUCUCAUUACUUAGUGGUCCCCCUCUACCAAUUAGUUCAAAUUAAAGGUGUCAGAGGCCUACAGGAUAGAGCAACUUAGUCAAACCAGAUUUCCUCAUCUUUCUAUUCCUAAAAUACCCCUGGAAUUCCCCUGAUACUUUCUGUGAUUUAAUGUCCUAACCUAACCUCUUUAAUCUAUGUUGAAACCUUCAAUUCUGAACCUGUUCAAACAUAUCAAAUGACCAAAACUGAUUCCCAAUCAAACACCAAGUUACAACAGCUAUAUUCAAUUCCUUAAUUAAAAAUCAAUCAGCAGUUUUAACUACUUAGACCCUAAAUAAUAGGAUUCAAAUCAUUCAACUCGUACAAAGCUUAAGCUUGAACUCAAGUCGAAUCAGAUAACUCCACAACAAAACCAAGGACUUCAGUGUUUCAGAACAUACUUAUAAUCAAACGAAACUAAAUUAAUCAGACACUACUAAUCAGAAGACUAUAUAAGCAACAAAAUACCAAACGUUACAUAGUUAAUUAAACAACAAAAAACAAAAUAUAAUGAAACAACUUGAAGAGCACAACUAAACACAAACACGAACGGACUAAUCGACGAAACUUAAUUAAUCUAUUACAUAGUUCAUAACCUAUGCUAAUCAACAAAACAGAACGAUGAUGAAAUCGAACCAAAAAGAGUCCGAAAGAGAAGAAAGAACUAAUUUCCAGAAAUGACGGAAUAUAACGUAACUAAUCACAUAAGCUCUAACAACAACAAGAGAAAAUAAAAAAGCAGAAAUACCUCACAUUUCAAAUCGGGUUCAAUUCCAGCCCCCAUCCAUAUUAAUUGAAACUUCAGUUUGAAUUUUGAAGCCGUAAUGGAUCUUAAUCGAGUGUUCUCGACAGAGAACACUCGACUAAGGUCGAUUACGACCACAAGUCUUCCCCCUGCGUAUCGGUUCCAGGUCUUAACUCUUUUAGGAUUCAUUCACUCGAAUAAAAAUUCGAACAGUUCCAACUCGAUUCGAAUAUAAAUGAUGUCGUAUUAGGGACAAAGGAGGUUAGGUGGUCAAUAGGUGUGAAUUUUUGUGGCCAUCGGAGAAGAUGAAGUUUCUUGACCAAUCUUCGAUUGAAUAUUCGACGAAGCCGGUGCCGAUUCGAGGGAUAAGGGGUAAGGAUUCAUGGAGGGGAUGGUUUGAUGGUCCGGUGGUGUUAAUUUUGUGGUCAUCAGUGGCUUUGCCGCCGGUUAUGCGGCGAAGGGGAGGGGUGGAGGCUACUGGGGUUUAGGGCUGUUUGGUCUCGGAGAGAGAUGACUGAUGGAGGGGGAUGGUUGAAAGAGGUUGGUUUGAGGGUCUGGGGGUGAUUUUAGUACAUUAAAAU
This 2203-nucleotide long non-coding RNA is filed under the name Nicotiana benthamiana. RNAcentral describes it as "long non-coding RNA (NBEN_LNC016129)". The record is from RNAcentral. Lineage: Eukaryota; Viridiplantae; Streptophyta; Magnoliopsida; Solanales; Solanaceae.